AACAGGGAUUGCCCCAGUAACGGCGAGUGAAGCGGCAACAGCUCAAAUUUGAAAUCUGGCUCUCGGGCCCGAGUUGUAAUUUGUAGAGGAUGCUUUUGGUGAGGUGCCUUCCGAGUUCCCUGGAACGGGACGCCAUAGAGGGUGAGAGCCCCGUCUGGUUGGACACCGAUCCUCUGUAAAGCUCCUUCGACGAGUCGAGUAGUUUGGGAAUGCUGCUCUAAAUGGGAGGUAUAUGUCUUCUAAAGCUAAAUACCGGCCAGAGACCGAUAGCGCACAAGUAGAGUGAUCGAAAGAUGAAAAGAACUUUGAAAAGAGAGUUAAAAAGUACGUGAAAUUGUUGAAAGGGAAGCGCUUGUGACCAGACUUGGGCUUGGUUGAUCAUCCGGGGUUCUCCCCGGUGCACUCUUCCGGCUCAGGCCAGCAUCAGUUCGCCCUGGGGGAUAAAGGCUUCGGGAAUGUGGCUCUCUCCGGGGAGUGUUAU
RNAcentral lists this ribosomal RNA (481 nucleotides) under Fusarium solani. RNAcentral describes it as "eukaryotic LSU rRNA". It matches the Rfam family "Eukaryotic large subunit ribosomal RNA", at positions 67 to 559 of the family's 3401-position model. The record is from RNAcentral. Lineage: Eukaryota; Fungi; Ascomycota; Sordariomycetes; Hypocreales; Nectriaceae.